Molecule: long non-coding RNA, 303 nt
Filed under: Sorghum bicolor (sorghum)
Lineage: Eukaryota; Viridiplantae; Streptophyta; Magnoliopsida; Poales; Poaceae
Description: long non-coding RNA (SBIC_LNC005309)
Source: RNAcentral
UUUUUCCUAUUAUGAGUUUUCCUGAAGUUUCUCAUAAAGAUUUAAUGAGGCAAUAUAUGUGCAAUUAACAAGAAUGGUAUAUAUGUACUCUUUUCUCCAUAAACCGUUUUUUCCCAAUGGGUUUUUCGGAUGGAGUUUUUAAUGAGACAUAAUAUCGUGGUAAUUGCCCAAGGGGGAGUGUUGUAAAACAAACGGACUUUGGAAUAUAGAAAGAGGAGAAGGAGGAAUCCUAAUCCGUUUGCUAUCUGGGCACUUACCAAACUCUAGGACAUAUUCAGGAUAUAUAUUCAUGGGAGAUCCUUC